GUUAACUUCUGUAGCACGCCCACGAUAUGCCGCAGCCUGCGGUAGCAUAGUAGUGCUAAGGUGCUAAUGCACAUUAGCUUGAGCAAAAAACGGACUUGGAAAGAAGUUUCAGCUCCUACUCUCUGUGGCAGCUAUGGAGAUUCUGAUGCUUCUGGAAGAUCACAACCACGACAUGUAAGUACGCUUCAUUAAUUGUCUUUUUUAUUUGUUUGAAAACAACUUUUGAGCUGCUACGGAUAUAUUAGUUCUGUGGAGGCUGUCUGUAGCUGAACUGUAAGCCUCGGCUAACAUGCUAAGUAAUGCUAUUUUUCAAAAUAGGCAGUAUUUAUUAUUAUUACUAUUUAUCAACUUUCAGCUAAAGCGGUAACAGGUAUAGCAGUGUUAACCACCCUCAGACAUGUAAGUAUUGUUUUGGGGCUCCAGAUCAGCUUUUUACAGACUCAGAGCAUUAUUGGACUCUGCAACCGGCUGACAUUGUUGUGGUUAGCCUCUCUCUACUCUGCUGUGUCUCCACUUCUGCAUAAAACAGUUUUGUUACUUUGCAUUUGUUUAUUGGUGUGAGAAGCUUGAAAGGUGCUAAAGUUCGGGUUUUGACCAUGGUUCGAGACGGUCUAAUGAAUGUAAAAUCCACUUUGUUACAGUAUCUGAGCUUUAUAAGACUCUGCUAACUUCCCGGCUAACACAGCUGUUGUUAUCCUCUUUCUACUCUCUUAUCCACCUCUGAGUAAAACUGCUUUGUUACGUGGUGAUUUUUUAUCGAUGUAGUAAGCAGAUUACACAGGCAACAAGCUCCAGUAUCCUAACGAGUGUACCAAGGUUCCAUGAUGAGGUUGGGUGGCAGACAGACUCCCCACAAGUCUCAGAGGCCACACAGACAUACCUACCUCCAAAGGUCCACACACAGUUGGCCUGGGGACAAGCAAAGCUUGUUGCUGUCUGUGAUGCAUAACAACGAACAUGCUGAACGUAAUAAAGCAACAACCUCUACAGGACAGCUGGUCUAUAAGGUGGCAUUCUUCAAAUCCUCAAAAAAACAGACACAACAUACAGAUAUGUUGGGGACUUGAUGGCACUGGUGUUGGAGGAGAUGUUUCAGGAACCAGAACCAUUCAUGGAGGAGCUGCAGAAAAUGCCU
Long non-coding RNA from Labrus bergylta (ballan wrasse), 1135 nucleotides. RefSeq lists it as uncharacterized. The record is from RefSeq and is a predicted model, not a curated record. Lineage: Eukaryota; Metazoa; Chordata; Actinopteri; Labriformes; Labridae.